UGUGGUAUGGUAAGGUGUGCUGUGUUGUGUGUGUGGUAUGGUAAGGUGUGCUGUGUUGUAUUGUGGUAUGGUAAGGUGUGCUGUGUUGUGUUGUGGGCUACUGUAUUAUCUAACAUUUUCUCAUCCUAAAUCAUAUCUUAUGAAAAUGUAACAGGAAGCCCAGAGAUAUGGCUUAUGCUUCAUGUGGCAUCUAAAGGCAAAUUUCAGCCUCUCCUUCUGUUCUUCAGUAUCAGCUGCUUUAGUUUUAUAAAUUAAAGCACUAAUUUCUCGAUUUGUAAUACUGAAAUCCAUUAAAAACAUGUCACACGCAAGGCUGAAAUGGCUGCUGUUAAUUUGCAUGUAGGCUAAUGAGUAACUAAGUGGUCCUUCACGAAAGUGCAAUAAUUC
Long non-coding RNA from Ictalurus punctatus (channel catfish), 387 nucleotides. Lineage: Eukaryota; Metazoa; Chordata; Actinopteri; Siluriformes; Ictaluridae. The record is from Ensembl.